RNAcentral lists this long non-coding RNA (657 nucleotides) under Equus asinus (donkey). RNAcentral's name for it is "lncRNA (ENSEASG00005035987.1)". The record is from RNAcentral. Lineage: Eukaryota; Metazoa; Chordata; Mammalia; Perissodactyla; Equidae.
UGGUAUAACUGUCGCUGCAUUUAUUCAAACGGACAAUUUGCAAUAAAUAUUAUACCCAGAACAACAGAACACUCCACCAUAUGAGGAAACAUUCUCAAGAAAAGAAAGGAAACUUCAAUGAAAGAAAAUCAUUCCUCUGUGAUUCAAAACACAUAGAAUUCUUAGAUCUUAACCACAGAAGUAUAACGUUGGAAGAAAUCAUUCAUGAGCAUUGAUUAGGAGAUGAGCACCCAUUGAGACAUACUCAGCAUCAAUAUAAACUUAAUUCUUCUUUAAAAGAGCUAAUCAUGUGUCGAUCAACCAUGCUGAAACUAAAAGCUUUGGUUAAAUAUUAAAAACAGAAAUUUCAGUAGCUUAUAACUUGGGAAGAAACAAGAGUAAAUGUGUUAAAGUUGAAGUGGAGGUUGUAUGAAUCUCCAUUUCUCAUAUAGAAGACCAAUUAGGAUUAAAUUGGCUCAACAAAGUGUAGAUAUGCAAUAGACAUUAAAUGCAGAAAAACUGUGAAUAUCAUAUUGCCUAGCAAUUGGUAAAAUAAGGAGAAUGAAGGACACAAGUUUAAUUUGUUAAUUACCCAGCGAUAUUGUAACCUGUUUCACAGCAAAAUCACUGUUUAUCGUAUUUUGUUGACAGAAUAAAGCACUACUUAAAAGGAGAGAU